GAUGAACGCUGGCGGCGUGCCUAAUACAUGCAAGUAGAACGCUGAAGGAAGGAGCUUGCUCUUUCCGGAUGAGUUGCGAACGGGUGAGUAACGCGUAGGUAACCUGCCUGGUAGCGGGGGAUAACUAUUGGAAACGAUAGCUAAUACCGCAUAACAGUAGAUGUUGCAUGAUAUCUACUUAAAAGGUGCAAUUGCACCACUACCAGAUGGACCUGCGUUGUAUUAGCUAGUUGGUGAGGUAACGGCUCACCAAGGCGACGAUACAUAGCCGACCUGAGAGGGUGAUCGGCCACACUGGGACUGAGACACGGCCCAGACUCCUACGGGAGGCAGCAGCAGGGAAUCUUCGGCAAUGGACGGAAGUCUGACCGAGCAACGCCGCGUGAGUGAAGAAGGUUUUCGGAUCGUAAAGCUCUGUUGUAAGAGAAGAACGAGUGUGAGAGUGGAAAGUUCACACUGUGACGGUAUCUUACCAGAAAGGGACGGCUAACUACGUG
This 497-nucleotide ribosomal RNA is filed under the name uncultured bacterium. Its description in RNAcentral is "partial 16S ribosomal RNA". It matches the Rfam family "Bacterial small subunit ribosomal RNA", at positions 28 to 507 of the family's 1533-position model. The record is from RNAcentral.